This is a non-coding RNA of Odocoileus virginianus texanus, 1368 nucleotides long. The record is from RefSeq and is a predicted model, not a curated record. NCBI's taxonomy places the organism in Eukaryota, Metazoa, Chordata, Mammalia, Artiodactyla, Cervidae.
AAAUCUUUCAAAUUCUAGGUACAGUGAGAGUCUACGAAAGAACUGAGGAUGACAUCCUGUCUCCACUUACCAGGCUUCUACACAGAUCAAGGAAAGCCCUUUGAAAGAUGAGGAAACACAUGCAAGGACAUGCAGAACAGGUCCUCUCAGUAUCCAAGAUCUCAGGUACAGUCCAAGCAAAAAGGAGAAAGAAAGCAAAAUUAGAGCAAGUUAUUACCUGAAAAGCAAAGAGAUGAUAAAAACACAUACCUGUUUUUUGAACUUGAAGUUGAAUUCCCACAUUGGUUCCUGUCUGUUCCCAACAACCUUUCUGCACCAGAAAAAUAGAAAACCCGUAUCCUGCCCUCUCACCCUCCCAAUGUGACAUUGGUGCAACUUGAGAAGAGACAACCCCAAGGCUGUUCAACAAAGAGAAGAGGAGUGCUUUCUGGAAUGGCUGGAUUCUUGGAGAUUCGAGCAGCAAAUGGCUCAUACAUAUGGUACAGAGAUCGGAUCACACAUGCCCGAAGACAGUGCAGCUUCUCCAUUGACUCUGGUCGCAGGCGCAAAGGCAGAGAGGCAUCCAGUGUGUAGUGUCUGAAACAUGACACAUUACUCCUACCAGUAAGCAACCUGUCUCUUCUGUUCUAGGCCAGUCUCCUAGGACUCCUAGGCUCUGUACAAAUUUUACAUUACUAUUCCACUGGCCAGUAGUUAAUUUGUCCCUAGUGCUCUCAUGCGGUCUCUGUUUCUUACACACACACACACGUACAAAUCAUCUCCUUCACUUCUCAGCUACUUUUCUCUGUUAUGAAAAACCCAAUUCACAUAUACCUUAUAAUCCUGCACUUCUCUAUUCAUUUAAAAAUUUUAAAUCCUCGCUAUUUCACUUUAAAAAAGGGCAAGUCUCUGACUUGAUAAUAGUACAAUACACUUCAGUUACUGAAAAAGAACUUGCACUGAAGAAGAUCUACCAGGUUCUCUUGUCACAUGUCUCAGAAAGUUCUCCACUCCCUGAUAACCUCAACAACUCCUUUCACCAUAUUCUUACCAACAGUUUAUAAUCUUCACUUCGCUUCUAACCCAGACUCUCUUAUUAAUCACAUCAUUCACUCUCUCCUCACCACUGCAACUAUACAGAGCCACAUAAAUGCAAAGACUAUGCAUUCAAGAUGACUAGCAAAUCUAAGAAACAACCAAUCCAGUUGGAAAGAUAAACAGAUGGGCAUCUAUAGUUUCUGAGAAUUCUAGCUAAGAUAAACCUCUGAAGCAAAGUCAAAAAUAGUUAUUUUUGAGACCUUACUUUUGCUGAAAGCAUUAGGUUGGUGCAAAAGUAAUUGGGGUUUUACAUUGUUGAACUUUGCCACUUGAUAUUGGAAUAUAUUCUUA